AUGGACUUAUAUUAACUGCUCAUCAUCAUUUACAUAAUUUGGCUGUUUCUUGUUUCAAUGGAGAAUUUAUCAAGGAUUUUAUAACCAGCCAUGGAGUGACUUAAUUUCUUCGUCCCGCUCUGUGACAACGAUUUACUACCGAUUUACUACCUUAUCAACAUCGUGGAUUAUGUGUCUUCGCCCUUAUGAGAACCGUCAUCAUUACCCCCACUCUUUGGACAGAAGACUACAGUAUCGACUACUUAAGGAUAUAGCCUCCUAAACCCCUUUGAAGAUCCUUGGAGAAAAAUCAGCAGAGUAUUUACCUUGAGGAAAACUUGAUGGAGGAAAGGCAGUCUUUUAACAACUCUCAUUGUAUAAAGUGUGGAGCAGUUGGCCAUGGACUUAUAUUAACUGCUCAUCAUCAUUUACAUAAUUUGGCUGUUUCUUGUUUCAAUGGAGAAUUUAUCAAGGAUUUUAUAACCAGCCAUGGAGUGACUUAAUUUCUUCGUCCCGCUCUGUGACAACGAUUUACUACCGAUUUACUACCUUAUCAACAUCGUGGAUUAUGUGUCUUCGCCCUUAUGAGAACCGUCAUCAUUACCCCCACUCUUUGGACAGAAGACUACAGUAUCGACUACUUAAGGAUAUAGCCUCCUAAACCCCAUUUUGUAGAGCUGGUCGGAAUAGGCUGGGGAAGUAGAUCCUUCCACAACUAAAAACCUUAGUGGAUCUAUUCUAGUGACAUUGGUGCUAGGGUCUUAUUUAAACAUUGAAGAUCUUUAUACUUUUUGUAAAUAAAUGUUAAUA
Macrobrachium nipponense is the source of this 789-nucleotide long non-coding RNA. RefSeq lists it as uncharacterized. The transcript has 3 exons. The record is from RefSeq and is a predicted model, not a curated record. Lineage: Eukaryota; Metazoa; Arthropoda; Malacostraca; Decapoda; Palaemonidae.